CUAUUUUCCAACUAUAACAUUGAUCUGGACAAAAGUGAAAUAAUGAUAUUAGCAGUGCCGGGACCUGUAUGGACCACUUUGUCCAUAUGCUUUUGAUUUAGCUGGGUUGACUCUGGAUUUAAAUAUCUAUGAGUCCAUAUUAUGCCAUCAAUUUCCCCAAUCUCCUUAAAACCCUGACAGUAGAUCUGAAGUGAUGGAAAUUUCCAUAGUUCUCACUCUUAGGGCGGGUAUAAAUAUUAAUGUAGAUGGCAUUACCAAGAAUUCACUCUAUACAGAUACCUACC
Pelobates cultripes (western spadefoot toad) is the source of this 284-nucleotide non-coding RNA. Lineage: Eukaryota; Metazoa; Chordata; Amphibia; Anura; Pelobatidae. The record is from the annotation of a GenBank genome assembly.